AUUGAACGCUGGCGGCAGGCUUAACACAUGCAAGUCGAGCGGGGUGAUGGUGCUUGCACUAUCACUUAGCGGCGGAUGGGUGAGUAAUGCUGAGGAAUCUGCCUAUUAGUGGGGGACAACAUCCCGAAAGGGAUGCUAAUACCGCAUACGUCCUACGGGAGAAAGCAGGGGAUCACUUGUGACCUUGCGCUAAUAGAUGAGCCUAAGUCGGAUUAGCGAGUUGGUGGGGUAAAGGCCUACCAAGGCGACGAUCUGUAGCGGGUCUGAGAGGAUGAUCCGCCACACUGGGACUGAGGCACGGCCCAGACUCCUACGGGAGGCAGCAGUGGGGAAUAUUGGACAAUGGGGGGAACCCUGAUCCAGCCAUGCCGCGUGUGUGAAGAAGGCCUUAUGGUUGUAAAGUACUUUCAGCGGGGAGGAAGGCGGUGAAGUUAAUAGCUUCACCGAUUGACGUUACCCGCAGAAGAAGCACCGGCUAACUCCGUGCCAGCAGCCGCGGUAA
This 502-nucleotide ribosomal RNA is filed under the name uncultured bacterium. RNAcentral describes it as "partial 16S ribosomal RNA". It matches the Rfam family "Bacterial small subunit ribosomal RNA", at positions 30 to 523 of the family's 1533-position model. The record is from RNAcentral.